This 495-nucleotide ribosomal RNA is filed under the name uncultured bacterium. RNAcentral describes it as "partial 16S ribosomal RNA". It matches the Rfam family "Bacterial small subunit ribosomal RNA", at positions 28 to 507 of the family's 1533-position model. The record is from RNAcentral.
GAUGAACGCUGGCGGCGUGCCUAAUACGUGCAAGUAGAACGCUGAAGGAGGAGCUUGCUCUUCUGGAUGAGUUGCGAACGGGUGAGUAACGCGUAGGUAACCUGCCUGGUAGCGGGGGAUAACUAUUGGAAACGAUAGCUAAUACCGCAUGACAACAGUUAUUGCAUGAUAACUGUUUAAAAGGGGCAACUGCUCCACUACCAGAUGGACCUGCGUUGUAUUAGCUAGUUGGUGAGGUAACGGCUCACCAAGGCGACGAUACAUAGCCGACCUGAGAGGGUGAUCGGCCACACUGGGACUGAGACACGGCCCAGACUCCUACGGGAGGCAGCAGUAGGGAAUCUUCGGCAAUGGACGGAAGUCUGACCGAGCAACGCCGCGUGAGUGAAGAAGGUUUUCGGAUCGUAAAGCUCUGUUGUAAGAGAAGAACGAGUGUGAGAGUGGAAAGUUCACACUGUGACGGUAUCUUACCAGAAAGGGACGGCUAACUACGUG